Molecule: ribosomal RNA, 1132 nt
Filed under: Macrophthalmus japonicus
Lineage: Eukaryota; Metazoa; Arthropoda; Malacostraca; Decapoda; Macrophthalmidae
Description: 16S ribosomal RNA
Rfam family: Bacterial large subunit ribosomal RNA (bases 652-811)
Source: RNAcentral
UGUAAAUAGCUUGUUUAAAGUUUGGGGAAUAUAGAAGGGAGUUAAGAAAAAUAAUUUUUAUAAUUUUAGUAAUUUUUAAUGAAAAUUAAGUAAAGACUAAAGAGAAAAGUACUGUGAAGGAAAGUUGUUGAGAUUUUAUAUAGAAAAAGUAAAAUUUUGUGCCUCGUGUAUCAGAAAAAAUUUAUAUAAUUUAGUUAAUGGUAAGUAUCUCGAAAUAAAAUAUAGUAAUUUUUAUAAAAUUUUCUUUUUAGAAAAAAAGAAUUUAAUAUAAAAUUUAAAGUGAAAUGCUAGCUGAGUUUUAUGAUAUCUAGUUUUUUAAAAAAUAAAUUUAAUUUAAUUUUUACGAAGAAAGAAUUGUAAAAUUAAAUGGUAGGGGGGAUUAGCUCUUUACGGAAAAGUCAAUGAAAUAGGUAGAUAUAAAGAAAUUAUAUAAAUUAGGCUUAGAAGUAGCUAUAUUGAAAAAGUGUUUUAACUAAAUUAUAAUUACUUGAAUAUUUAAGAUAACUUUUGUUAGGUAUUAAAAAAACGGUUUAAACAAAAUAAAACGAAAUAUAAUGAUUUUAUUAGUAAAAUUUAUUAAGUAAAUAAAAAUGUUAAAGGGUAAAAAUUAUUUAAAAGAUAAAUAUUAAUAAAAAGGAAUUCAGCAAAAAUUUUCUUUGCCUGUUUAUCAAAAACAUGUCUUUUUGAAAGUAAAAAAAGUCAAGCCUGCCCGCUGAUGAAUUUUAAGGGCCGCGGUAUUUUGACCGUGCGAAGGUAGCGUAAUCAUUAGUUUUUUAAUUGGAAUCUUGUAUGAAUGGUUAGACAAGAGAAACUCUGUCUCUUUAUUAAAAAUUGAAUUUAACUUUUAAGUGAAAAGGCUUAAAUUAGUUAAAGGGACGAUAAGACCCUAUAAAGCUUUAAUAUAGAAUGCCAUUUGGUUGAAUUUUUUAUAAAAGUUUCGUGGCAUAGUUUAUUUUAUUGGGGCGAUAAGAGUAAAAUGAUUUUUAACUGCUUGAAUUUAGAUACAUAAAUUAUUGUAAUAGAUAAGUAAGAGAUCCUUGAUAAAGAUUAUAAGUUUAAGUUACUUUAGGGAUAACAGCGUUAUUCUUUUUGAGAGUACAUAUCGAAAAAAGAGUUUGCGACCUCGAUGUUG